Molecule: ribosomal RNA, 484 nt
Filed under: uncultured bacterium
Lineage: Bacteria
Description: partial 16S ribosomal RNA
Rfam family: Bacterial small subunit ribosomal RNA
Source: RNAcentral
AUUGAACGCUGGCGGCAGGCCUAACACAUGCAAGUCGAGCGGAUGAAGGGAGCUUGCUCCUGGAUUCAGCGGCGGACGGGUGAGUAAUGCCUAGGAAUCUGCCUGGUAGUGGGGGAUAACGUCCGGAAACGGGCGCUAAUACCGCAUACGUCCUGAGGGAGAAAGUGGGGGAUCUUCGGACCUCACGCUAUCAGAUGAGCCUAGGUCGGAUUAGCUAGUUGGUGGGGUAAAGGCCUACCAAGGCGACGAUCCGUAACUGGUCUGAGAGGAUGAUCAGUCACACUGGAACUGAGACACGGUCAAGACUCCUAAGGGAGGCAGCAGUGGGGAAUAUUGGACAAUGGGCGAAAGCCUGAUCCAGCCAUGCAGCGUGUGUGAAGAAGGUCUUCGGAUUGUAAAGCACUUUAAGUUGGGAGGAAGGGCAGUAAGUUAAUACCUUGCUGUUUUGACGUUACCAACAGAAUAAGAACCGGCUAACUUCGUG